Molecule: long non-coding RNA, 546 nt
Filed under: Fukomys damarensis (Damara mole-rat)
Lineage: Eukaryota; Metazoa; Chordata; Mammalia; Rodentia; Bathyergidae
Description: lncRNA (ENSFDAG00000026152.1)
Source: RNAcentral
GGGAAUUUUAUUAUGGACAAAUGAGAAUGUAGCUACAAUGUGUGUCAAAAUGGAUUUCCUAUUUCCUAUUUUGUACAUGUUUAGCUGGGACUUUCAUGGGAGAUGGGCUUCAGAAUGAUAUUCCCCUGAGCCAUCUUCCGGAAGGACUUGUCUCAGUCUGUCAGGCUCAGAGAACCGGUGUGAGAGGCCACACAUAUGGAGCAACCCCAACCCACUGAGGCACUCAACACAGAAAAGCCGACCAGUGAACAUCAAGGCUCACAGUGCAACAUGGAAAAACUGCUCCUCCUACUCAAGCCAGUGAAUAGGUCCCAGGGCUUAAAGUAUUUAGACGCUGUGUGGGCUUAAGGGCCCAGAGAGGCCAGGACAGCAGCAUUUGCAGUCAGAUGUCAGUGAGGCUGCCGUCUCCUGAGCAGCCACUCGACUCACAUUAUUAAAUUUAAUUCUAACAGCAACUUCUUUUCACAUGUGGGAAAACUAAGGCUCAGGGAGAUUAACUCAUUUGCUGAAGUAUUUAAGCCAGGAUUCAAGUGUAGUCCAAAGCCC